GGGUGAGUAACACGUGAGCAACCUGCCCCUGACUCUGGGAUAAGCGCUGGAAACGGCGUCUAAUACUGGAUAUGUCCCAUCACCGCAUGGUGUGUGGGUGGAAAGAUUUUUCGGUUGGGGAUGGGCUCGCGGCCUAUCAGCUUGUUGGUGAGGUAAUGGCUCACCAAGGCGUCGACGGGUAGCCGGCCUGAGAGGGUGACCGGCCACACUGGGACUGAGACACGGCCCAGACUCCUACGGGAGGCAGCAGUGGGGAAUAUUGCACAAUGGGCGGAAGCCUGAUGCAGCAACGCCGCGUGAGGGAUGACGGCCUUCGGGUUGUAAACCUCUUUUAGCAGGGAAGAAGCGAGAGUGACGGUACCUGCAGAAAAAGCACCGGCUAACUACGUGCCAGCAGCCGCGGUAAUACGUAGGGUGCAAGCGUUAUCCGGAAUUAUUGGGCGUAAAGAGCUCGUAGGCGGUCUGUCGCGUCUGCUGUGAAAUUCCGAGGCUCAACCUCGGGCUUGCAGUGGGUACGGGCAGACUAGAGUGCGGUAGGGGAGAUUGGAAUUCCUGGUGUAGCGGUGGAAUGCGCAGAUAUCAGGAGGAACACCGAUGGCGAAGGCAGAUCUCUGGGCCGUAACUGACGCUGAGGAGCGAAAGGGUGGGGAGCAAACAGGCUUAGAUACCCUGGUAGUCCACCCCGUAAACGUUGGGAACUAGUUGUGGGGUCCUUUCCACGGAUUCCGUGACGCAGCUAACGCAUUAAGUUCCCCGCCUGGGGAGUACGGCCGCAAGGCUAAAACUCAAAGGAAUUGACGGGGACCCGCACAAGCGGCGGAGCAUGCGGAUUAAUUCGAUGCAACGCGAAGAACCUUACCAAGGCUUGACAUACACGAGAACGGGCCAGAAAUGGUCAACUCUUUGGACACUCGUGAACAGGUGGUGCAUGGUUGUCGUCAGCUCGUGUCGUGAGAUGUUGGGUUAAGUCCCGCAACGAGCGCAACCCUCGUUCUAUGUUGCCAGCACGUAAUGGUGGGAACUCAUGGGAUACUGCCGGGGUCAACUCGGAGGAAGGUGGGGAUGACGUCAAAUCAUCAUGCCCCUUAUGUCUUGGGCUUCACGCAUGCUACAAUGGCCGGUACAAUGGGCUGCAAUACCGUGAGGUGGAGCGAAUCCCAAAAAGCCGGUCCCAGUUCGGAUUGAGGUCUGCAACUCGACCUCAUGAAGUCGGAGUCGCUAGUAAUCGCAGAUCAGCAACGCUGCGGUGAAUACGUUCCCGGGUCUUGUACACACCGCCCGUCAAGUCAUGAAAGUCGGUAACACCUGAAGCC
RNAcentral lists this ribosomal RNA (1313 nucleotides) under Microbacterium esteraromaticum. Its description in RNAcentral is "bacterial SSU rRNA". It matches the Rfam family "Bacterial small subunit ribosomal RNA", at positions 104 to 1428 of the family's 1533-position model. Lineage: Bacteria; Bacillati; Actinomycetota; Actinomycetes; Micrococcales; Microbacteriaceae. The record is from RNAcentral.